AGGUCUCUAGCAGCCAUAAUUUUCCUGCAUGACUACCUCCACUGGCUGAACUCUGCCUCCAGGGCACUGUCCGACAGCCAGCAGGCUAUAGCCCCAGGAGUUGAAGGAGCCGAAGAGGAGACUGCAGGAACAGUUCAAAAGGAGACAAGUACUCUGGAGCCAAAUCAUGGCCUGAAGCUGGAGAGGAGCUGCUCCCCAGUUCAGAGAUGGAACUUUUUACUGAUGGGAGCCGAAGGCUAUGGCAGGGCAAUAAUAGCCCCGCAUAUCAAGAGACUCCAAGGACCAGUAUGUGGAGAAAGGAGACUGCUCACCUCGGGGAACACAACAGGUAAAACAAAAAAACAAACCCGGCAUCUCCUAGAGGCUUCCUGACCUCUGUAGUAAUAGUAAUACUCACCCAAAACCAAAGGAUGAAUAAGCUGGGGAAAAGAAGUGGCAGACCAGACUACCCUCAGGGAAUCAUAGACCAGUAGUCCCCUCCCCUUACCACCAGAAGCUAUGCUUCAAUGACUGAAGACGGAGCUACUAAACAUCAGGAAAACUAAUUACUAAAGAUAGAAAAAUAGGGCUGGAGAGGUGGCUCAGUGGUUAGAGCACUGACUGCUCUCCCAGAGGUCCGGAGUUCAAAUCCCAGCAACCACAUGGUGGCUCACAGCCAUCUGUGACGAGAUCUGACGCCCUCUCCUGGUAUGCCUGAAGACAGCGACAGUGUACUCAUAUAUAAU
Molecule: long non-coding RNA, 725 nt
Filed under: Rattus norvegicus (Norway rat)
Lineage: Eukaryota; Metazoa; Chordata; Mammalia; Rodentia; Muridae
Description: long non-coding RNA NONRATT031762
Source: RNAcentral